Molecule: non-coding RNA, 205 nt
Organism: Oryza meridionalis
Lineage: Eukaryota; Viridiplantae; Streptophyta; Magnoliopsida; Poales; Poaceae
Source: Rfam
AAUAAGCGCAGCCAUGAGUUUUCGCGCCCAACUUUGAUCGUCCGUCUUAUUUAAAACUUUUUUAUAAUUAGCAUUUUUGUUGUUAUGAGAUGAUAAAACAUGAAUAGUGCUUUACUCGUGACUUAUGUUUUUAAUUUUUUUCAAAAAAAUUUCAAAUAAGACGAACGGUCAAAGUUGGACACAAAAUACCAUGGCUGCACUUAUU